UGUAUUGAAAUUCCGAUCAGAGGAUCGAGGGUAAGAACUUUGCAAUGAAAUUAUGAAAAUUGUGACAUGUGGAUAUUGGAUAUUGUUUGCUUGCCAUCGUGCUCAUUCGCACACGCUUGUGAGGGUAGCUCCCUACAAGCCGGCACUCCGGAGUUGGCCUAUGCGACAGUUGCUCGCCCGUGCGGGAUUGGGUGCCGAAGUGGAUUGCCGUGGGGAGUGUAUACUACCACGGGGCCAUUAGGCGCGGCGCAAGCUGGACUACCUUGNNNNNN
This 272-nucleotide long non-coding RNA is filed under the name Ananas comosus (pineapple). RNAcentral's name for it is "long non-coding RNA (ACOM_LNC009261)". Lineage: Eukaryota; Viridiplantae; Streptophyta; Magnoliopsida; Poales; Bromeliaceae. The record is from RNAcentral.